UCCUGGUUAGCUCAGUUGGUAGAGCAUUGCACUGUAAAUGGAGAAGUCUUUGGUUCGAUACCAGGACCCGGUG
RNAcentral lists this transfer RNA (73 nucleotides) under Ixodes scapularis (black-legged tick). It matches the Rfam family "tRNA". Rfam says of the family: Transfer RNA (tRNA) molecules are approximately 80 nucleotides in length. Their secondary structure includes four short double-helical elements and three loops (D, anti-codon, and T loops). Further hydrogen bonds mediate the characteristic L-shaped molecular structure. tRNAs have two regions of fundamental functional importance: the anti-codon, which is responsible for specific mRNA codon recognition, and the 3' end, to which the tRNAs corresponding amino acid is attached (by aminoacyl-tRNA synthetases). tRNAs cope with the degeneracy of the genetic code in two manners: having more than one tRNA (with a specific anti-codon) for a particular amino acid; and 'wobble' base-pairing, i.e. permitting non-standard base-pairing at the 3rd anti-codon position. Lineage: Eukaryota; Metazoa; Arthropoda; Arachnida; Ixodida; Ixodidae. The record is from Rfam by way of RNAcentral.